RNAcentral lists this unclassified non-coding RNA (1424 nucleotides) under Hevea brasiliensis (rubber tree). The record is from RNAcentral. Lineage: Eukaryota; Viridiplantae; Streptophyta; Magnoliopsida; Malpighiales; Euphorbiaceae.
AACUAAAUGGUGAAAGUAGCUAUCGUCCACCUUCUAUAUCAUCCUAACAAUAACAUUCUUGCCUCAAGAAAAAGCCUUUCAGGAGUUCAAGCACUAAUUCCACUGUUCAAUAAGGUAUUGAUCUCGCCAAUUAUAUGAACAGGCCUUCCAUCAAACAUGGAUGAAAGUGUGCUCUCACAAAGCCUCUUCAGCUCCCUGGUUUUUGCAAGAGCUGCUUCCUGCAAUUUAAACAACAUAAACUCAAUAUUUAUUUGUUGAAAUUCAAUCUUCUGAUAUUUGUCAAUCUGUUUAUAAUUUAUUUUCAGUUAACAAAAAUAGUGUAUUUCAGAAUUUUAUCCCUCUCCAUACAUAAAAAUUAUAAGAUCAAAACAAUAAUACAAGCCCUUCAUAAAAAAUAUGAAUCAGGAUUGAAAUGGACCAGUGUAAUCAAUCCAUAUUGCAUCCGUGCAAGGAAAAACUACAGAAUUUGACUAAAGGAAAUUAAUCCGGUAUAUUUACCUCUUUGCUGAGAAAUUAAGAAAUCACAAAUUAACAUCAUAAGCAAGCCUAUAGUAUAUAUGAAGCAUAUAUCAUCCACUACAAAAUCCCCAAAGAUCAGACAAUACUCCUUUUAGUUAAAGGAUCCUAAAGCUAAGCAAAUAUUGACACAGUCCUUGAUAUCUUACAAAUAUGGUGCAUGGCAACAAUUGGAAAUCAUUCAUCAUUCAGGAAUAAAAAUACAUACAUCAUAUAUAUAUAUAUUACGAUUUUGUUCAUAUACUCCAGAACAACGAAAGUUUGGUAAUGGAUAAGCACUAAUGUACAAGCUAAUCAACUACAGAAGUCCCAACACAAAAGACCUUUUUUCUUUUCUUUUCACGGGACAAAUUGACUUCGAUGUUACAUAACUUCAGGGAUUCAAUGAUCUUUUCUUCAAAAGGUACUUAUUUGAUAAGGGUCCCCACCCAAAAAAAAAAAGAACUCUUAAGAUUUUGGUCAGACAUUAUCGCUUUACAUUAAUGUUCAUUUCUAUGUGUUCCUUAAUUUUGAUUAUGUUUCCUACUUAAGACAUAAUUGGGCUACAGAUAGAAAAGAGAGACUCAUGGAUACUGGUCCAAAAUUAAAAACUAUUAAACAUAUUGUUCUUUCUUUUGCUUCUAUCUGGAAGAACUGAAAGGGCUAAAAGAAAAUCAAAGCAAGAGAAUUUAUGAAGGGUGAAGAGAGCAACCUGAAGAACAAAAGCAUAACACUCAAUACGAGAGUAUAAAUACUUUUUUCUGGAAGCACAACCAAUAAUAUAUAUAAAAAUAACCUGCUUUGGCCAUGAUGAAGAUAAAGAAUUGUGAAGUUCCAUGCGUUUAGCAGCCAAGUCCUUCAAUCCCUCUUUUAACUUCAGCUCGUGAUGCUUCUUUUCCUCCAAUGUACUUACUAGUCUGUCCAGAAAU